RNAcentral lists this ribosomal RNA (465 nucleotides) under uncultured Klebsiella sp. Its description in RNAcentral is "bacterial SSU rRNA". It matches the Rfam family "Bacterial small subunit ribosomal RNA", at positions 338 to 795 of the family's 1533-position model. Lineage: Bacteria; Pseudomonadati; Pseudomonadota; Gammaproteobacteria; Enterobacterales; Enterobacteriaceae. The record is from RNAcentral.
CCUACGGGUGGCAGCAGUGGGGAUUAUUGCACAAUGGGCGCAAGCCUGAUGCAGCCAUGCCGCGUGUGUGAAGAAGGCCUUCGGGUUGUAAAGCACUUUCAGCGGGGAGGACGGCGUUAAGGUUAAUAACCUUGUCGAUUGACGUUACCCGCAGAAGAAGCACCGGCUAACUCCGUGCCAGCAGCCGCGGUAAUACGGAGGGUGCAAGCGUUAAUCGGAAUUACUGGGCGUAAAGCGCACGCAGGCGGUCUGUCAAGUCGGAUGUGAAAUCCCCGGGCUCGACCUGGGAACUGCAUUCGAAACUGGCAGGCUAGAGUCUUGUAGAGGGGGGUAGAAUUCCAGGUGUAGCGGUGAAAUGCGUAGAGAUCUGGAGGAAUACCGGUGGCGAAGGCGGCCCCCUGGACAAAGACUGACGCUCAGGUGCGAAAGCGUGGGGAGCAAACAGGAUUAGAUACCCGAGUAGUC